This 484-nucleotide ribosomal RNA is filed under the name uncultured bacterium. RNAcentral's name for it is "partial 16S ribosomal RNA". It matches the Rfam family "Bacterial small subunit ribosomal RNA", at positions 30 to 507 of the family's 1533-position model. The record is from RNAcentral.
AUUGAACGCUGGCGGCAGGCCUAACACAUGCAAGUCGAGCGGAUGAAGGGAGCUUGCUCCUGGAUUCAGCGGCGGACGGGUGAGUAAUGCCUAGGAAUCUGCCUGGUAGUGGGGGAUAACGUCCGGAAACGGGCGCUAAUACCGCAUACGUCCUGAGGGAGAAAGUGGGGGAUCUUCGGACCUCACGCUAUCAGAUGAGCCUAGGUCGGAUUAGCUAGUUGGUGGGGUAAAGGCCUACCAAGGCGACGAUCCGUAACUGGUCUGAGAGGAUGAUCAGUCACACUGGAACUGAGACACGGUCCAGACUCCUACGGGAGGCAGCAGUGGGGAAUAUUGGACAAUGGGCGAAAGCCUGACCCAGCCAUGCCGCGUGUGUGAAGAAGGUCUUCGGAUUGUAAAGCGCUUUAAGUAGGGAGGAAGGGCAGUAAGUUAAUACCUUGCUGUUUUGACGGUACCAACAGAAUAAGCACCGGCUAACUUCGUG